Molecule: ribosomal RNA, 254 nt
Filed under: uncultured bacterium
Lineage: Bacteria
Description: partial 16S ribosomal RNA
Rfam family: Archaeal small subunit ribosomal RNA
Source: RNAcentral
UACCAGCACCCCGAGUGGUCGGGACGUUUUAUUGGGCCUAAAGCAUCCGUAGCCGGUUCUGCAAGUCUUCCGUUAAAUCCACCUGCUUAACAGAUGGGCUGCGGAAGAUACUAUAGAGCUAGGAGGCGGGAGAGGCAAGCGGUACUCGAUGGGUAGGGGUAAAAUCCGUUGAUCCAUUGAAGACCACCAGUGGCGAAGGCGGCUUGCCAGAACGCGCUCGACGGUGAGGGAUGAAAGCUGGGGGAGCAAACCGG